AACGAACGCUGGCGGCAUGCCUAACACAUGCAAGUCGAACGAGACCUUCGGGUCUAGUGGCGCACGGGUGCGUAACGCGUGGGAACCUGCCCUUAGGUUCGGAAUAACUCCCCGAAAUGGGUGCUAAUACCGGAUAAUGUCUUCGGACCAAAGAUUUAUCGCCUUUGGAUGGGCCCGCGUUGGAUUAGCUAGUUGGUAGGGUAAAAGCCUACCAAGGCGACGAUCCAUAGCUGGUCUGAGAGGAUGAUCAGCCACACUGGGACUGAGACACGGCCCAGACUCCUACGGGAGGCAGCAGUGGGGAAUAUUGGACAAUGGGCGAAAGCCUGAUCCAGCAAUGCCGCGUGAGUGAUGAAGGCCUUAGGGUUGUAAAGCUCUUUUACCCGGGAUGAUAAUGACAGUACCGGGAGAAUAAGCGCCGGCUAACUCCGUG
This 433-nucleotide ribosomal RNA is filed under the name uncultured bacterium. RNAcentral's name for it is "partial 16S ribosomal RNA". It matches the Rfam family "Bacterial small subunit ribosomal RNA", at positions 29 to 507 of the family's 1533-position model. The record is from RNAcentral.